GAUGAAGAACGCAGCGAAAUGCGAUAAGUAAUGUGAAUUGCAGAAUUCAGUGAAUCAUCGAAUCUUUGAACGCACAUUGCGCCCGCCAGUAUUCUGGCGGGCAUGCCUGUCUGAGCGUCAUUUCAACCCUCAUGCCCCUAGGGCGUGGUGUUGGGGAUCGGCCAAAGCCCGCGAGGGACGGCCGGCCCCUAAAUCUAGUGGCGGACCCGUCGUGGCCUCCUCUGCGAAGUAGUGAUAUUCCGCAUCGGAGAGCGAUGAGCCCCUGCCGUUAAACCCCCAACUUUCCAAGGUUGACCUCAGAUCAGGGAGGAAUACCCGCUGAACUUAAGCAUAUCAAUAAGCGGAGGA
This 348-nucleotide unclassified non-coding RNA is filed under the name soil metagenome. Its description in RNAcentral is "partial contains 5.8S ribosomal RNA, internal transcribed spacer 2, and large subunit ribosomal RNA". The stretch from base 1 to 120 matches the Rfam family "5.8S ribosomal RNA", at positions 35 to 154 of the family's 154-position model. The record is from RNAcentral.